UUAGUCCCUUAGGGAGCUUGGAUGUGUCUAUGGAAUUUACAUGACCUUGCUUUGUACAAGUUGUUCUGGGUUCCCCAGUAUUGUGUACUGUCUUACCCUUCACUGAAGUUACCAUUAUUAAAUGAACAAGAUUUAUGAGUGGUGUGAUAAGGGGUAGAGAGGAAUGGGGAUAGAGGGAGGAACCAAAAAUGAAGCUCAAGUAUUCAGCUGAUUGUCCGGGCAGAUGGUGGUUCCAUUUACUGUGAUAGGGAGUAUAGGAGGAGGAGAUGGGCUUGGAUAAUUUAAGAUAGAAAUCUUAGUUUUAAACUCUUGUCUUUCAAGAGGACGUGGAACAUCAAAAUGGAAUUGAUCAGUAAGGAAUUGGAUAUAUGAGUCUAACACUCAGGAUAGAAAUCUGAGAUGAAAACAAAGAUUUGUGAGCUAUCAACCUAUGGGUGGUGGUUGAAAUCAUGGUGGCUGAGAGUAUAUAGAAAGAAGAGAGGGUAAUCAACAUUUAAGGAAAAGUUAGUGGAUACUCUGGUCAUUUAUCUAUUGGUGUCUCGAUAUUUUUAUUUAUAGAUUUGAAUGUGCUCUUAGUAUAACGCUGAAAGUACUCUUUUUUUCUUUAUCAUUCUUAACUAUUCUUUUUCCCAAUCUAGUAUGUAAACAUUGAAAUUUGGCAGUUACCCCUGUAUGAAAUUUCACUUAUAUAUUUGAAUCCAUUCAUGUUUUCUCCUUUGUAGUGGCUCUUCCUGUCAGCCCUCCUGUUUACACUGUUCAAGGCAACAUUUACAUAAUAAGGCUGGAAGGACUCAAGGAGGUUAAGGGGUAAGAUCUAAUUCACACAGCAAAGUCGCAUUCUGAAAAAUUUGGAGAUACGAAGAGGAAAGUAAUCAGCUGCACAGAUUCCUCCCUGCCCUGCAAAUUCCCUUCUGUAGUUUCAUAUUAAAAAAAAAAAUUUGAUAUAAUAACAUUUGACUGUGCUUCAUGUUGAUGGAAGUACAUUCUUGUUUAUGAAAAAUCCUCUUUUCCUUACCAUGCAUCCAACUCUUAAGUCUUAGGAACCGAGUUUAUGGUGUUUGAACCUGUUUGUGAGUUUCACCGUGGGCAUCUUCACUUGUUCUUUUACUGUGUCCUUACCAGAAUACCAGUGCUAAGAGUUUUGUGUUUCGUCUUUGUUUACAUGGAUUAUAAAUGGGUGAGGUUUAAUUAAAUAAAAAUCUUUAUAAAAAUACUCUUUAGCGUCAGCAGACAUUAGCUAUUGUUAAGUUGAAUAUGACUGGUUUAAGAACAUAUUUCAGCUGUAUCUAUGAUAAAGGCAGUUCUCACUGUCCUUCUGGUUGCCCUUCAUGUUUAACUAGUAUUUUUGUGUCUUUGUGCUUGGGAUUGUUUAGGUAAUAAUCUUUUGUUAUCGCAGAAUCAUUCCUGGCUUUGUUUAUUUUUAUCUUUUCAACUUAUUUAGUAAAGGAAGCCAUUAUAGAAUGUCUUUCUCCGUUAUUUCAGGAAUAGGUUGACAUUCUCUUUGGUAAUUGAGGAGCUAGACAAAUAAAAAUGAGUAAAUACCAAAGGCAUAGAAUUAUGGGAAUUCAGUUAAGAAAAAAAUGGCUUUCCAAAAAUUUAAUAUAAUGUGUUAGCAACCAGAGAGUUUUAGAGGCAAAUAAGGCAUUGGAAACAAGAAACAAAAAAAAAAAAAAAAAAA
Trichechus manatus latirostris (Florida manatee) is the source of this 1678-nucleotide long non-coding RNA. RefSeq lists it as uncharacterized. The transcript has 2 exons. The record is from RefSeq and is a predicted model, not a curated record. Lineage: Eukaryota; Metazoa; Chordata; Mammalia; Sirenia; Trichechidae.